Molecule: ribosomal RNA, 253 nt
Filed under: uncultured bacterium
Lineage: Bacteria
Description: partial 16S ribosomal RNA
Rfam family: Bacterial small subunit ribosomal RNA
Source: RNAcentral
UACGUAGGGGGCAAACGUUAUCCGGAUUUACUGGGUGUAAAGGGAGCGUAGACGGCUUUGCAAGCCAGAUGUGAAAGCCCGGGGCUCAACCCCGGGACUGCAUUUGGAACUGUAUGGCUGGAGUGUCGGAGAGGCAGGCGGAAUUCCUAGUGUAGCGGUGAAAUGCGUAGAUAUUAGGAGGAACACCAGUGGCGAAGGCGGCCUGCUGGACGAUGACUGACGUUGAGGCUCGAAAGCGUGGGGAGCAAACAGG